UACGAAGGGGGCUAGCGUUAUUCGGAAUUAUUGGGCGUAAAGGGUGCGUAGGCGGUGCGGACAGUCAGAUGUGAAAUCCCUCGGCUCAACCGAGGAACUGCGUUUGAAACUACCGUGCUCGAGUAAGACAGAGGUAAGCGGAACUUCGGGUGGAGCGGUGAAAUGCGUUGAUAUCCGAAGGAACACCGGUGGCGAAAGCGGCUUACUGGGUCUUUACUGACGCUGAUGCACGAAAGCUAGGGGAGCAAACGGG
Molecule: ribosomal RNA, 253 nt
Filed under: uncultured bacterium
Lineage: Bacteria
Description: partial 16S ribosomal RNA
Rfam family: Bacterial small subunit ribosomal RNA
Source: RNAcentral